AUUGAACGCUGGCGGCAGGCCUAACACAUACAAGUCGAGCGGAUGAAGGGAGCUUGCUCCUGGAUUCAGCGGCGGACGGGUGAGUAAUGCCUAGGAAUCUGCCUGGUAGUGGGGGAUAACGUCCGGAAACGGGCGCUAAUACCGCAUACGUCCUGAGGGAGAAAGUGGGGGAUCUUCGGACCUCACGCUAUCAGAUGAGCCUAGGUCGGAUUAGCUAGUUGGUGGGGUAAAGGCCUACCAAGGCGACGAUCCGUAACUGGUCUGAGAGGAUGAUCAGUCACACUGGAACUGAGACACGGUCCAGACUCCUACGGGAGGCAGCAGUGGGGAAUAUUGGACAAUGGGCGAAACCCUGAUCCAGCCAUGCCGCGUGUGUGAAGAAGGUCUUCGGAUUGUAAAGCACUUUAAGUUGGGAGGAAGGGCAGUAAGUUAAUACCUUGCUGUUUUGACGUUACCAACAGAAUAAGCACCGGCUAACUUCGUG
Molecule: ribosomal RNA, 484 nt
Filed under: uncultured bacterium
Lineage: Bacteria
Description: partial 16S ribosomal RNA
Rfam family: Bacterial small subunit ribosomal RNA
Source: RNAcentral